GUGAUUUCCAAUGCCAGCUAUCUGAUCCUUACAUUUCAAAGAGGGAUAGAGAAAGUACCUAUUGGUUUGUUGAGCUGAGAUGUCAAUCCACACGGUCGCACCGACAGAGUCAGAUAAUGAAAAUGCAAGAUGGUUGCGAACAUGGUAGUUCGACAUGAACACAAAUCAAGCACAAGAAAAGCCCUCCCGGCCAACUCCUCUUUGGUCAUCCAGUUCAUGAGAUGAAUUUGUAUGAACUGGUGAUUCUUUUUUUUCUCCCCUUCUAUCUCUCUCCCACUUGAAGCAUCAUUGACCAGAUCUCCGUAAGUAUGCUAGUACACCUAACCCAGCAACCAGAGCCGCACCUGCUGCAACGGCACUGUAAGCUGCAGCCCAUGCAUCUGGAUAAGCAUAAUACAUAUCUCCCGAAGUUGAACUCAACCGACGGCUACGUACUCCAGAAUAGUCUAAAUGCAAUCUUAGACUCUGCAAAUUUAUCAAAGUUUAAGCCUUCUAGAGUUUAAAAAAUUCAGUAUUUUUUCUUUUUUGUUUAUAAACAUUUCUUUCUCUUUUCCCAUAGAAAAGGAACCCUAACAUCAUAAAUAAAGUGGUAUCUGUUUC
Molecule: long non-coding RNA, 600 nt
Organism: Manihot esculenta (cassava)
Lineage: Eukaryota; Viridiplantae; Streptophyta; Magnoliopsida; Malpighiales; Euphorbiaceae
Exons: 2
Source: RefSeq, a predicted model, not a curated record